RNAcentral lists this unclassified non-coding RNA (288 nucleotides) under uncultured fungus. RNAcentral's name for it is "partial contains small subunit ribosomal RNA, internal transcribed spacer 1, and 5.8S ribosomal RNA". The stretch from base 1 to 73 matches the Rfam family "Eukaryotic small subunit ribosomal RNA", at positions 1759 to 1831 of the family's 1831-position model. The record is from RNAcentral. Lineage: Eukaryota; Fungi.
GCAAACUUGGUCAUUUAGAGGAAGUAAAAGUCGUAACAAGGUUUCCGUAGGUGAACCUGCGGAAGGAUCAUUACCGAGUGUGGCCCCAUUUUUUAAAAACAAAUAGGGGUACCUCCCGUCCUUUGCAGGGCCCUUUGGGGCUUUUUGAACUUUGCUUCGGCGGGUUUACCCCCGCCGGAACACCCUCAAGAAAAUCUUUUUAAAAAAACUGUUGUCUGAGCAUAUACAAAAUAAAACAAAACUUUCAACAACGGAUCUCUUGGUUCUGGCAUCGAUGAAGAACGCAGC